Molecule: unclassified non-coding RNA, 407 nt
Filed under: uncultured Rhizophagus
Lineage: Eukaryota; Fungi; Glomeromycota; Glomeromycetes; Glomerales; Glomeraceae
Description: sequence contains 28S rRNA gene
Source: RNAcentral
AGUUAAACAGUACGUGAAAUUGUUGAAAGGGAAACGAUUGUAGCCAGUCGUACCUUCGGGUAAUCAGCCUUUCGGGUGCGAUUCUGUGGGGUUUGAGGAGCUUUAACACCUUCAUGCUUUGCAUAUUCGUGCUCUUGGGUGUACUUGCCCGUGUGGUUGGUUAACAUCAAUUUCGGGCACCAUAAAAUGGCUGGAGGAAUGUAGCUUCGAUCUUGUAUUGAAGUGUUAUAGCCUUCGGUAGAUGUGGUGAUCGAGAUUGAGGAUUGCAACGGAUACCUUUCGGGGCUACCUGUCUGAUCUCUGAUCGUUGUUUUGGUGCUGAAAGCGUGCUUAUAGUUAUCAAAGUCGAUGGUCAAUAGGUUAGAAUGGGUUAAAUUCGUUAAGGAUGUUGACGUAAUGGCUUUAAA